This 467-nucleotide ribosomal RNA is filed under the name uncultured bacterium. Its description in RNAcentral is "partial 16S ribosomal RNA". It matches the Rfam family "Bacterial small subunit ribosomal RNA", at positions 28 to 506 of the family's 1533-position model. The record is from RNAcentral.
GACGAACGCUGGCGGCGUGCCUAACACAUGCAAGUCGAACGGAAAGGCCCUGCUUUUGUGGGGUGCUCGAGUGGCGAACGGGUGAGUAACACGUGAGUAACCUGCCCUUGACUUUGGGAUAACUUCAGGAAACUGGGGCUAAUACCGGAUAGGAGCUCCUGCUGCAUGGUGGGGGUUGGAAAGUUUCGGCGGUUGGGGAUGGACUCGCGGCUUAUCAGCUUGUUGGUGGGGUAGUGGCUUACCAAGGCUUUGACGGGUAGCCGGCCUGAGAGGGUGACCGGCCACAUGGGGACUGAGAUACGGCCCAGACUCCUACGGGAGGCAGCAGUGGGGAAUAUUGCACAAUGGGCGGAAGCCUGAUGCAGCAACGCCGCGUGCGGGAUGACGGCCUUCGGGUUGUAAACCGCUUUCGCCUGUGACGAAGCGUGAGUGACGGUAAUGGGUAAAGAAGCACCGGCGAACUACGU